This 338-nucleotide long non-coding RNA is filed under the name Capsella rubella. Its description in RNAcentral is "long non-coding RNA (CRUB_LNC003062)". Lineage: Eukaryota; Viridiplantae; Streptophyta; Magnoliopsida; Brassicales; Brassicaceae. The record is from RNAcentral.
UGUGUACAAAUAGUUUUUGAGUUGUUGAGAGUUGGAUAAGUGUAGAGGAAAAUAAAGAAAAUGCAAGUCAACACAGAUUAAACUAUUGGUUAAUUGGCUCUCCCUAAGCUGUUUGUAGCAGAUAAUACAACUACUUUAUUGGAAUGAAGUUUAGUCAAUAGCCUUUUUUUUUUGUUUUUAUGGUGGUAAUGUGGAAUUCGUAGUUAUGCAUAUUAAUUAAUAAUUGCGAAAAAAAAAACCAUAUAAUCCUAGUCUCUUUUUUUUACUAUGAAAAUAUAAUCCGACUAAAUAUUUCUUAUAAUAAAAUAAUGUGAUAACUUCAUAAAGUCAUAUAAAAC